UACGGGGGAGCAAGCGUUGUUCGGAUUUACUGGCGUAAAGGGCGCGUAGGCGGUCGUGACAAGUCACUUGUGAAAUCUCCGGGCUUAACUCGGAACGGUCAAGUGAUACUGUCGGACUAGAGUACAGAAGGGGCAACUGGAAUUCUCGGUGUAGCGGUGAAAUGCGCAGAUAUCGAGAGGAACACCUGCGGCGAAGGCGGGUUGCUGGGCUGAUACUGACGCUGAGGCGCGAAAGCUAGGGGAGCGAACGGG
This 252-nucleotide ribosomal RNA is filed under the name uncultured bacterium. RNAcentral describes it as "partial 16S ribosomal RNA". It matches the Rfam family "Bacterial small subunit ribosomal RNA", at positions 524 to 776 of the family's 1533-position model. The record is from RNAcentral.